UUCUCAGAAAGGGACAUAUACUAAAAUUGGAAUGAGACAGAGAAGGUUAGCAUGGCCACUGCACAAGGAUGAUAGGUAUAUAUUUUCUGUUUUU
This 94-nucleotide small nuclear RNA is filed under the name Meriones unguiculatus (Mongolian gerbil). The record is from RNAcentral. Lineage: Eukaryota; Metazoa; Chordata; Mammalia; Rodentia; Muridae.